UAGCUCAGUUGGUAGAGUAUGGGACUAUUAAUCCCAGGAUCAUGGGUUUAAGCCCCAC
Molecule: transfer RNA, 58 nt
Filed under: Cricetulus griseus (Chinese hamster)
Lineage: Eukaryota; Metazoa; Chordata; Mammalia; Rodentia; Cricetidae
Rfam family: tRNA
About the family: Transfer RNA (tRNA) molecules are approximately 80 nucleotides in length. Their secondary structure includes four short double-helical elements and three loops (D, anti-codon, and T loops).
Source: Rfam by way of RNAcentral